UACGGAGGGUGCAAGCGUUGUUCGGAAUCACUGGGCGUAAAGCGCGUGUAGGUGGUCUUUUAAGUCUGGUGUGAAAGCCCGGGGCUCACCCCCGGAAGGGCACUGGAUACUGGGAGACUAGAGUACCGGAGAGGAAGGUGGAAUUCCUGGUGUAGCGGUGAAAUGCGUAGAUAUCAGGAGGAACACCGGUGGCGAAGGCGGCCUUCUGGACGGCUACUGACACUGAGACGCGAAAGCGUGGGGAGCAAACAGG
This 253-nucleotide ribosomal RNA is filed under the name uncultured bacterium. RNAcentral describes it as "partial 16S ribosomal RNA". It matches the Rfam family "Bacterial small subunit ribosomal RNA", at positions 524 to 776 of the family's 1533-position model. The record is from RNAcentral.